This 97-nucleotide ribosomal RNA is filed under the name Pseudoalteromonas ruthenica. RNAcentral's name for it is "partial 16S ribosomal RNA". It matches the Rfam family "Bacterial small subunit ribosomal RNA", at positions 1442 to 1533 of the family's 1533-position model. Lineage: Bacteria; Pseudomonadati; Pseudomonadota; Gammaproteobacteria; Alteromonadales; Pseudoalteromonadaceae. The record is from RNAcentral.
UCUGGAGGGCUAUCAACAAGGAGUGAUUCAUGACUGGGGUGAAGUCGUAACAAGGUAGCCCUAGGGGAACCUGGGGCUGGAUCACCUCCUUAUACGA